GAUCUCAUCGCUGCGAAUCGCGGUGGAAUGCAGCCGGUGAGUCGAAUCGCCGGGGGAGGGAAGGGAAAAUGGAGGUGGCAUCGGAGAAGGUGGAAGAGCAGAUCUCUAGCGGGCGGCGAAAGGUGGCAGAUCGCGGUUGCGGCCGGUGAGUCGAAUCGCCGGCAGAGGGAGGGAAAAAUGGAGGUGGCAUCGGCCGGUGGGUCGAAUCGUCGCGGAGAGGGAAAUUGAGG
This is a long non-coding RNA of Salvia miltiorrhiza (redroot sage), 230 nucleotides long. RefSeq lists it as uncharacterized. The transcript has 2 exons. NCBI's taxonomy places the organism in Eukaryota, Viridiplantae, Streptophyta, Magnoliopsida, Lamiales, Lamiaceae. The record is from RefSeq and is a predicted model, not a curated record.